UGUAAGAGUACUAUGUGGUUAACCUUUGCGUCAACAUUGUUAUCUACUUGUAUUACAAUCGCAUUACUGUUUCUGUUGUAUAGUAAGAGAUGGAAGAUUGCCUUCUCUAUUUAUGGAGUAAUUCGGCGUACUAUUGAAAAAAAUGUUCGAAAGACAUACCAGUUCGACGUGUAUAUGUCUUAUGAGGGAGAGCUAGUUAAUUGGAUAAAAGAUGUCUUAGUACCAAAACUUGAGGACGAGUGGGGACUGACCAUGUGUAUAAAAGAUCGAGAUUUUCUAAUAGGUAAGAGUCUGUUGGAUACUGAGGCUGAAUGUAUCAAAAUAGUAGGUAUAUUAUCUUCCUCAUCACUCCUGAGUUCAAAUCGUCACGUGAUUGCUUGUUUGAACUCGACAGAGCAAAAUAUGAAAAAGUAACAAAAAAUUUAGACAAAAUUAUUGUAAUAACAAAAGAUAUCAUAGUAACUGAUAUUCCCUAUGAGUUUUCGUACAUUUGGAAUUAUGCCUAUGUUGUACAAUGGCCGAAAGAGGAAGAAGAUUUAAAUGAUACAUGGAGACGAUUGGAGAUGUUGCUAACGGAUUGCCAAGUUCAAAACAAAAACAAAAAGCUCAUUAGAGAUUUCAACAUUAGGUGGUUACAUUAUUAUUUAAUAUCAUUCACACGCAAAUUAUUAUAUCAACUUCAUGAAAUUAAGUAAUGAGUCAAAAAGCUCAAUAGAGAUUUCAUCAUUAGGUGACAACAUUAUAAGACGGAUUGCCAAGUUCAAAACAAACACGUAACUCAAUAGAGAUUUCAUCAUUAGGUGACAACAUUAUAAGACGGAUGGCCAAGUUCAAACAAACAAGUAGCUAGAUAGAGAUUUCAACAGAAGAUGAAAACAUUAUAAUACGGAUGGCCAAGUUCAACAAGUUCAAAACAAACAAGUAGUUCAAUAAACAUUCCAACUUAUGUGCCAACAUUAUUAUUUAAUAUUAUUCCAACG
RNAcentral lists this long non-coding RNA (980 nucleotides) under Mytilus galloprovincialis (Mediterranean mussel). Lineage: Eukaryota; Metazoa; Mollusca; Bivalvia; Mytilida; Mytilidae. The record is from RNAcentral.